Molecule: ribosomal RNA, 444 nt
Filed under: Triticum aestivum (bread wheat)
Lineage: Eukaryota; Viridiplantae; Streptophyta; Magnoliopsida; Poales; Poaceae
Description: partial small subunit ribosomal RNA
Source: RNAcentral
AUGGUGUUGCUUGACAUUAGGGGUAUGUUGCAGUCCAUGGGCAAAGACGCUGAUUUCGCUCUUCCAUGCAUUGACGAUGCAUUCGACCCAACCGAGGGCGAGGCCAGAGAAGUGAUCGAGGAAUCCAACGUCGAUUUUGACAUCAACGACACUAAAUUGGCUUCGUCGCUAAACUUGGAGCAGAGGGCUGCAUACGACGAGAUACUAGCUUCUGUUGAACGCGGUGAUGGGGGUGUGUUCUUUGUUGAUAGACCGGGAGGUACAGGGAAGACCUUCCUGUACAGGGCGCUGCUCGCCAAGGUUUGAAGCGAGGGAAACAUCGCUAUCGCUACCGUGACGUCAGGCGUCGCCGCUUCUAUCAUGCCUGGAGGCAGGACUGCCCACUCGAGGUUCAAGAUCCCAUUGAGCUGCGACGAUGGCGCCUCAUGCACCUUCACGAAAUAG